AACUUAAUAUGUGGAAGACAUUGACAUCACAGGCUGUGGAAUGACUGUGUCACAGGUCGGAGAAGCGGACCGCCCCUGUCGCGGAUCACGCUCCUCCUAGUUCCACCUCGAGGAGGUCCCAAAGCACCCCAAUGACCAGACAAACCAGAGAUAAGUAAAAUAUAAAAAUAGAAACUUUAUUUAAAUUAUUUAAAACUAAAGUGGGGAAUGGGAAUCUAAAAAUCUCGCUUCUCGCCCUCAGGGGGAGUAUUACGGGGCCAGGGACGUUGGAGGGGUUUCCACGUGACUCCAGCUGGAACACCGCUAGAGAGCGUAUCUGGGUGGGUUGGGCACACACCGUCGCGGCGGCCCCUGAUGGCAUCCACAAAGGUCCAAGACCCUCCUAAGCUCCCAGCCGUAGCAGAACUACGUAUUUCAGCACCCGAACGACUAACAACCCAGCCGGCAUCUGCAGCGUAUAUCCAACGCGAUCAAACUUCACUCUGACAAGUAACUUCCUAUACACAACCACGCCGUCCUUUCGCCCGGACCAGCCCCGCACUCUUUCCGCCCGCUACCUAGCGGUCGCCGGAUCAGCAGAGCCUGCGGACUCUUCGGACUCUGUGACCCUUACAGUAACUUCUACCUUCUCUCUUUAUAUCCUCCUCCAUGGCGUGGCUCGCCCAACCAUCGCUCGCCAUGUCACUCACACAGCUGUGCCUUGUUUCAGUGAGUGCGGGGAUUCCCGGGGAACCCGGAAGUGCCGGUGUCUGUACAAACCGGUCCGGGCGGAACCUCUUCACUCUCCUUUUGGUUCCGCCCCGCAUAGUCACUCCGUGACAACUGUUUGCGUUUUUUUUUCUCCUCAAUGUUCAAUACCCUUUUGCCAUUAAGCACACAGUGACAUUAAUUUAUAAAAUAUAUGCUUAAGUUUUAAUACCUGUACAAAACAAAUGUAAAAUCAACUUGUGUAAAUUGUCAUUUUAUUUAAUAGAUUGUUCAUGAAUUGUCUUUAAAUGCAUUGUGAUUUCGGUAACACUUUACAAUAAGGUUCAUUAGUUAACAUUAGUUAAUGUAUUAACUAACUUGAACAAACCACGAGCAAUACAUUUGUUACAGUAUUUAUUCAUCUUUGUUAAUGUUAGUUAAUAAAAAUUUAAGCUUUACUUGCUUGUUCAUGUUAGUUCAGAGUGCAUUAACUAAUGUUAACAAGAUUUUAAUAAAGUAUAAGUAAUUGUUGAAAUUAACAUCAACAAAGAUUAAUAAAGGCUGUAUAAGUGCAGUUCAUUAUUAGUUCAUGUUAACUAAUGUAGCUAACUAAUGUUAACUAAUGAACCUUAUUGUAAAGUGUAACCGUGAUUUCUUUUCAUCAUUUCAGACACAUGUAAAAGUUACUAAAACUUAGUACUGCCUAUACUGUACAGUAUCUAUGCGUAAGGGAAAUAACUUGAACAAAAUUUUUUAUGUAUAGUGUAAUUAAGAGUUUAGCUGUUUAAUACAGAGAUGCAAUAUAUAUAUAUGUAUAUGUAUGUUUAUUAAAAAGUGAAAAUGCUUAAUGGAAAUAAUUAAAUAACUAAAUGGUUGAAUGUAAUGAGACAUUUUAAAUGUAUACCAAAGUUUUGCUGUCUAAUACAGAAUAAAGAGAUGUGAUUUUAAGUAA
Misgurnus anguillicaudatus (oriental weatherfish) is the source of this 1639-nucleotide non-coding RNA. Lineage: Eukaryota; Metazoa; Chordata; Actinopteri; Cypriniformes; Cobitidae. The record is from RefSeq and is a predicted model, not a curated record.